Molecule: ribosomal RNA, 478 nt
Filed under: uncultured bacterium
Lineage: Bacteria
Description: partial 16S ribosomal RNA
Rfam family: Bacterial small subunit ribosomal RNA
Source: RNAcentral
GACGGACGCUGGCGGCGUGCUUAACACAUGCAAGUCGAACGGUAAGGCCCUUCGGGGUACACGAGUGGCGAACGGGUGAGUAACACGUGGGUGAUCUGCCCUGCACUUCGGGAUAAGCCUGGGAAACUGGGUCUAAUACCGGAUAGGACCACUGCCUGCAUGGGUGGUGGUGGAAAGCUUUUGCGGUGUGGGAUGGGCCCGCGGCCUAUCAGCUUGUUGGUGGGGUGAUGGCCUACCAAGGCGACGACGGGUAGCCGGCCUGAGAGGGUGACCGGCCACACUGGGACUGAGAUACGGCCCAGACUCCUACGGGAGGCAGCAGUGGGGAAUAUUGCACAAUGGGCGCAAGCCUGAUGCAGCGACGCCGCGUGAGGGAUGACGGCCCUCGGGUUGUAAACCUCUUUCAGCACCGACGAAGCGCAAGUGACGGUAGGUGCAGAAGAAGGACCGGCCAACUACGUGCCAGCAGCCGCUGUAA